GAGUGAACGCUGGCGGUAGGCCUAACACAUGCAAGUCGAACGGCAGCACAGUAAGAGCUUGCUCUUACGGGUGGCGAGUGGCGGACGGGUGAGGAAUACAUCGGAAUCUACUUUUUCGUGGGGGAUAACGUAGGGAAACUUACGCUAAUACCGCAUACGACCUACGGGUGAAAGCAGGGGAUCUUCGGACCUUGCGCGAUUGAAUGAGCCGAUGUCGGAUUAGCUAGUUGGCGGGGUAAAGGCCCACCAAGGCGACGAUCCGUAGCUGGUCUGAGAGGAUGAUCAGCCACACUGGAACUGAGACACGGUCCAGACUCCUACGGGAGGCAGCAGUGGGGAAUAUUGGACAAUGGGCGCAAGCCUGAUCCAGCCAUACCGCGUGGGUGAAGAAGGCCUGCGGGUUGUAAAGCCCUUUUGUUGGGAAAGAAAAGCAGCAGGUUAAUACCCCGCUGUUCUGACGGGACCCAAAGAAUAGCACCGGCUAACUUCGUG
Molecule: ribosomal RNA, 492 nt
Filed under: uncultured bacterium
Lineage: Bacteria
Description: partial 16S ribosomal RNA
Rfam family: Bacterial small subunit ribosomal RNA
Source: RNAcentral